Molecule: long non-coding RNA, 6175 nt
Filed under: Sus scrofa (pig)
Lineage: Eukaryota; Metazoa; Chordata; Mammalia; Artiodactyla; Suidae
Description: lncRNA (ENSSSCG00060041204.1)
Source: RNAcentral
UUUUUUUUUUUUUUUGGCAAACCCACAGUAUGCAUAAGUUCCCUGGCCAGGGAUCAAACCUGCACCAUAGCAGUGACAACACUGGAUACUUAACUGCUAGGCCACCAGGAAACUCCCUAUUUUUGGGUGUUUAAGGAACUUCCAUACUGUUUUCCAUAGGAGCUGCACCAAUUUACAUUCUCACCAGUAGUGUAGGAGGAUUCCCUUUUCUCCACACCCUCUCUAGCAUUUACUAUUUGUAGACUUUUAAUGACGGCAAUUCUGACCAGUGUGAGGUGAUACCUCAUUGUAGUUUUGAUUUGCAUUUCCCUGAUAAUUAUCAAUGUUGAGAAUCUCUUCAUGAGCCUACUGAGCUAUUUGUCAUCUUCAGAAAUAUGUCUAUUUAGUCUUCUGCCCAUUUUUUUGUUUCUUGGUAUUGAGUUGUAUGAGAUGUUUGUAUAUUUUAGAAAUUAAGCCUUUGUCAGUCACAUCAUUUGCCAAUAUUUUUUCCCAGUCCAUAGGUUGUCUUUUCAUUUUGUUAAGAUUGUAAAUUUGAUUGUGCCCCAUUUUGUUUAUUUUUACUUUUAUUUCUAUUGCCUUGGGAGACUGACCUAAGAAACUCUGCUAUGAUUUUUGUCAGAGAAUGUUUUGCCUAGUUCACCUCUAGGAGUUUUAUGGUGUCAUGUCUUAUAUUUAAGUGUUUAAGCCAUUUUGAGUUUAUUUUUGUAUAUUGUAUGAGGGAGUGUUUUAAGUUCAUUUAUUUACAUGUGGCUGCUCAGCUUGUCCAAGACUACUUGCUAAAGAGACUGUCUUUACUUCAUUAUAUAGUCUUGUCUCCUUUUGUUGAAGAUUAAUUGACUAUGGGUGUGUGGGUUUAUUUCUGGACCCUCUAUUCCCUUCCAUUGAUCCCUAUGCCUGUCUUUGUGACAAUACUGUGCUGUUUUGAUUACUGCAGCUUUGUAGUAUUGUCUGAAGUCUGGGACAGUUAUGCCUCCAGCUUUUCUCAGGAUUGCUUUGGCACUUGUGGGUCUUUUAUGAUUCCAUGUAAAUUUUAUGAUAAUUUAUUCUAGUUUUGUGAACAAUGUCAUGGGUAAUUUGAUAGGGAUCCUAUUAAAUUAGUUGAUUGCUUUGGGUAGUAUGGCCAUUUUAACAAUGUUAAUUCUUCCAAUCCAAGAGCAUGGGGUAUCUUUCCAUUUCUUUGGAUCAUCUUAAAUUUACUUUAUCAACAUUUUAUAGUUCUCAACAUACCGGUCUUUCACCUCCUUAGUCAUGUUUAUUCUUAAGUUUUCUGUGUUUGGGCUGUGGGAUGGAAAUCCUGUAAAAUUGGAUUGUUAUGAUCAUUAUACAACUACAGAUGUGAUAAAUUCAUUUGAGUAAUAAAAAAAUACUAAAAAAAAUAAAAGCUAUUGUUUUUAUUUUUAAAACACAACCUGUAUUUUUUAGCAUUUCCCCAGUGGUGCCCUUGUACAACAAAGGUUGAGAACCAUUACAGUUAUCACUCAACAAAUAGUUAUAAAACUGUGCUCAUCCAUACUAGGAAAUAAAAAAGAUUUCUAGAUUAUCUAGAAUAGGUUUUUACAGGUCAUUCCUGCCUCUGAGAAAUCUAGACACAUGACUAUAUGGAGAGUAACUUAUUUUUUUAAGUUGCUUGGUUUUCCCCCAAAAAAUAAAGAAGAAAUCAAAAUGAGUACAAAUAGCAGAAGGUUGCUUAAACCUAAACAUCCAUUGUCAGAGGAUUGAUUAAAUAAUAAUGAUGUGCCUCAAAAUUGGAAUUCUAUAUAGCCACUGAUAGGGAAACUCUCUAGCUGCAGACAUACACCAAUACCCAAGACAGAGUAAAUGAAAAAACUAAGAUACAAAGCAAAAUUUGGUGGCUGUUUUGGGUCGUGUUCCUUAUCCCUGGUACCAUUGAAGGUGACUGUAUUUGCAGAAGAUGAGGCCAGACUAGAUUAGGGUGGGCUCAAGUCCAAUGACUGGUGUCCCUUUAAGAAGAGAUAAACUUGCAUACAGACCCAGAAGGUCACAUGAAGAUGGAAACAAAGAUUGGAGUGAUGGAGCCCCAGCAGCUAGGAUAGAGGAAGGGAACAGAUAGAUGUUCCCUCAGAACCUCCAGAAAAAGCAUAUCCUACCAACAACUGGAUUUUGGACCUCAAGCCUCCCUAUUGUGAGAAAGUAAGGUUCUAUUGUUUCAAGCCACCCAAUUUGUGGUGAUUUGUUAUGGCAGCCCUCGAAAACUAAUACAGUAGCUUAUCAUUUCUGGGAAUCUAUCUAUCUCUCUCUCUCUCUCUCUCUCUCUCUCUCUCUAUCAUCUAUCUAUCCAUCUAUCAAUACUAAAACUGUUUCCGAAAGGAUACCCAAGAAACUGAGGCCAAAAUGACUUCUGGGAAAGACAUGAGGAUGGCUGGGAGCAAGGGAAGAAAGAGAGAUUUACUUUUCAGUGCAUGCUCUUUUAUGUUUUUUGACUUUUGUACUAUAUUCAGAUGCUAUUUUAUUUCAUUUUCUUUUUUAGGGCUGCACCCAUGGCAUAAGUAAGUUCCCAGGCUAAGGGUAAAAUAGGACCUAUGCUAUAGCCACAGCAACGCAGGAUCUGAGCUGUGUCUGAGACCUAUACCACAGCUCAUAGCAAUGCUGGAUCCUUAACCCACUGAGUGAGGCCAGGGAUCAAAUCCAUGUCUUCAUGGAUACUAGUCAGGUUUGGUUACUACUGCACUGCCAUGGGAACUCCAAAUACUAUUUAUUUUUAAAAAAUCAAUGAUUUUACAAUAAUUGUGAUUUUUUUUCCCCCAGCUUGGGUCAGCUGCAGAAAUAACCCAAGAAAGCUGCUUUAACCUCUCAGGGCCUCAGACUUCACAACCAGAAAAUGGGGAUAAUAAUACCAAUUAUAGCCAACCCUUAAAAAAAUGCACCAACCCCUCACACAGUUGAAAAUCCACAUAUAACUUUACAGUUGGCCCUUUGUAUCUGUGGUUCUGCCUCUGGGGAUUCAACCAGUGUUGGAUGGUGUAGCACUGUGGUACAUCUUUAUUAAAAAAAAAUCUACACAUAAUUGGAUGCACACAGAUCCAACCUCUGUUAUUCAAGGGUCAACUGUACCUUACACACAGUGCAUGAUGUGCCUGGAAGGGUGCCUGGCAGAGAAAAGGGCUCAAGGAGGGAUCAUAUUGGCUAUGGUUUUUUUUUUUUUUUUUUUUUUUUUUUGGUCUUUUCUAGGGCUGCACACAAGGUAUAUGGAGGUUUCCAGGUUAGGGGUCUAAUCGGAGCUGUAGCUGCUGGCCUAAGCCACAGCCACAGCAAUGUGGGAACCAAAACGCGUCUGUAACCUGUACCACAGCUCAUGGCAAAGCCGGAUCCUUAACCCACUGAGCGAGGCCAGGGAUCAAACCUGCAACCUCAUGGUUCCUAGUUGGAUUCGUUAACCACUGAGCCACUACAAGAACUCCUGGCUAUGGUUUUUAUGGCUAUUAUGUGAUUAAGGUGCCUGAAUAAUAGUUAAAAUCCAAACAAGGGAUCAUGGGUGGAACACUGGAAGAGCCACACUAAACUGUGGUGGCAACUAAUAAAGCUGGCACAUAAUCAAGGAUAGCAUCUGCUCCAUGAAGGAGAUCUUCCUCAGCAGCCUUCCUCAACAGCAGCAGUGCCACCUUCAUAGCUGGAUAAUUCUAGGUUGUGGGUCUGUGCUGCACACAGUAGGUUUUAGCAUUGCUUGUCUUUGCCCACAAGGUGCCAGGAGUAUGUCUCCCUCAGUUGGGUUCAUCAAAGAAGACUCCUGACAAUGGCUCCCAUCCUCUGGUGAACAAAACUGGCUUAGCUGAGAACCACUAGUCCACAGAUUGGCAGUUCCCAACAUGUGCCACCCAGACCAGCAAUAAAUAUUACUGGGAACUUCUCAGAAAUGCAGAAUCUGGGCCCCAUCUCAGACCCACCGCAGCUGAACCUGCAUUUUAACAAGAUCUCCCUGUCACAUUAAAAUGUGAUCAGCAUUCAUCAACACCAGUGGCUCUCCCCUUCUCUUAUAAACAUAGGAAACCUUGCCCCUUUGAGUAAAAACACAUAUUACUGGCUCCUACCCAACCUGAGAAAGGGCUGGGAGUAGAUAUUUUAAAGCGAAUCUUAGGAUCAAGAAGUUUGGGGAAACUCUACCGUAUUUAUAUAGAGAAACAAAAUUUAGCAAUUCCUUUCUAGAAUUGCAUGGGCAGAGAGUGUCUUGGAUCCCAAACUUGUUCUCUGGAUAUUUAUCAAGUCCUCACUGAGCACUGGCCCAGGGACAAGUGGCUAAAAGAGACCCAUCUCCUGAGUGGCACCGAGCUGACAGCCCAAAGUGCACUGGAUGGCGCAGAAGUAGAGUCCAGCUGACAUUGUUAGAGAACUUCCACAUCUAACUGUGUUGGAAUCCUUUGACUUCCUGGUCCCAUAAGCAAAUAAAGUUUGGUUUUGGAAUUCCUGUUGUGGUUCAACGGUGAUGAACCUGACUAGUAUCCACAUGGAAGAGGGUUUGAUCCCUGGCCUCACUCCGUGGGUUAAGAAUCCAGCAUUGCUGUGACCUGUGGUGCAGGUCACAGACACAGCUCAAAUGCUGGGCUGCUCUAACUGUGGUAUAGCCUGGCAGCAGCAGCUCCGAUUCGACCCCUAGCCUGAGAACCUCCAUAUGCUGCAAAUGCAGCCCUAAAAAGCAAAAAAAAAAAAAAAAAUUUGAUUUUGCUUGAGGCAAUUUAAGUUUUAUUUCUAAUCACUUGUCUCUGAGAUAGUCUCAAUGAACACACUAUCCUCUAAGGUCACAGGACUGAUUUUCCUGCCCAUGACCAUAUGUGAUGGAAUAACUUUCUAAGUCUAAUAUGGAUUCCCACAAAGUUCUGUCUAUAGGGAGAUAAUACAGAGCUCAGAAGCCAUAAGAAUGUGAACAUUUUUGUUGCUAUAAGAGCAUUAUAAAUCAAUUGUAUUCUGGCUUUAUACAUCCAUCUCUUGUGAGUUUGGUUCCUGUAAGUCAGUGUCCAGGUUUUAACACAUCCAAGUAUAAGUAGAGCAAAAGGAAUGUUCCAACCAGCCCCUGGAAUGAAAUGAUGUCAUACUCCCCACCCCACUGUUUUCAUGUAGGACUUCUUUUGUUUGUUUGUUUGUUUAGGGCUGCACUUGCAGCAUAUGGAAGUUCCCAGGCUAGGGGUCAAAUCAGAACUACAGCUACCACCUAUACCACACCCACAGCAACAUGGGAUGUGGACUGUGUCUGCGACCUACACCAUAGCUCACAGCAACGCUGGAUCCUUAACACACUGAGUGAGGAAUAUAGCAUAUCUCACUUUUUUUAUAUUGAUUGCACACUGAAAUAAUAAUAUGCUGAGCAUACUGGGUUAAAUAAAGUGUCUUAUUAAAAUUAAUUUCACCCAUUACUUUUUACGUCUUAAAUGGGGCUAUUAGGAAAAUUUAAGUUACAUAUAUGGCUAUUUGUGGCUCCUAUUAUAUAGUCAGUUCUAGCUAUAUUGUUAUAUAUAGUAUAUAUAUAUGCACACAAUAUAUAGUAUAUAUUAUCUAUAUAUAAUUGUUAUUUUGUAUAUGGAUUAUACAAAAUAAGUUAUACUUAUUUUGAAAAUGUGAAUUUGCUCCCAUGAAGCAGAUACAUUGAGAGGUAAUUAAACAUAACACUAAUAACAUGUCUACUCGUGUCUGUAAGAAACACUAGGUGAAUCCUGAAAACGGCACCCAGCUGAACUGAGUUGUGCGGAAAACACACAAAAUGCUCACACAUGCACAGACCUCAAACAUCCACCAGAUACUUCAGUUCACCACACGGAUUAUGCGCCACGUGAACCCACAUCUGGUGCUACAACUUUCCGUCCAAUUUUAAAUAACCCUCCUUUCACCACUUUCCAUAACUCACAUGCAGCCACCAUGGCUCGUGGAUGCCACUUCCUCAAGCAAAUGCCAGGUCUUUUCCAAGCUAAAAUGCAAUAUACAGUAUAGUAUUUACACAUAUACUUGCAGUUAACAUAUGCAAAAGUGGGCUGUUUUUACUAGGCUCCUUUUUUUUUUUUUUUAAUGUUUCUCUGACAAAGUUUUUAGUGUUAUGUCCCUCACCCCACUUACUCCAUAGGUCCUACAGUUUUUAUUGCGAGAUUUUGCAUCUCACUGUAUUUUUCAGUAAUGCCUACGGCUGUGUUUCUAUUGGACGGUGCUGUGCUACAGAGCCUUGGUUCCCAAAGCA